UCAGGAUGAACGCUGGCGGCGUGCUUAACACAUGCAAGUCGAACGGAGAUUACAUUUUAGCUUGCUAAGUUGUAAUCUUAGUGGCGGACGGGUGAGUAACGCGUGGGUAACCUGCCUUAUCCAGGGGGAGUAACAGUGAGAAAUUACUGCUAAUACCGCAUAAGCGCACGGUAUCGCAUGAUACAGUGUGAAAAGAGUUUAUCGGGAUAAGAUGGACCCGCGUCUGAUUAGCUGGUUGGUGAGGUAACGGCCCACCAAGGCGACGAUCAGUAGCCGGCCUGAGAGGGUGAACGGCCACAUUGGGACUGAGACACGGCCCAAACUCCUACGGAAGGCAGCAGUGGGGAAUAUUGCACAAUGGGGGAAACCCUGAUUGCAGCGACGCCGCGUGAGUGAAGAAGUAUUUCGGUAUGUAAAGCUCUAUCAGCAGGGAAGAAAAUGACGGUACCUGACUAAGAAGCCCCGGCUAACUACGUGCCAGCCGCGGC
This 488-nucleotide ribosomal RNA is filed under the name uncultured bacterium. RNAcentral's name for it is "bacterial SSU rRNA". It matches the Rfam family "Bacterial small subunit ribosomal RNA", at positions 24 to 518 of the family's 1533-position model. The record is from RNAcentral.